UACAGAGGGUGCGAGCGUUGUUCGGAAUUAUUGGGCGUAAAGCGCAUGUAGGCGGCUUGUUAAGUCGCGUGUGAAAGCUCCAGGCUCAACCUGGAAAGUGCGCGCGAAACUGGCGAGCUUGAGUGCCGGAGAGGGUGGCGGAAUUCCCGGUGUAGAGGUGAAAUUCGUAGAUAUCGGGAGGAACACCAGAGGCGAAGGCGGCCACCUGGACGGACACUGACGCUGAGACGCGAAAGCGUGGGGAGCAAACAGG
This 253-nucleotide ribosomal RNA is filed under the name uncultured bacterium. Its description in RNAcentral is "partial 16S ribosomal RNA". It matches the Rfam family "Bacterial small subunit ribosomal RNA", at positions 524 to 776 of the family's 1533-position model. The record is from RNAcentral.